This 481-nucleotide ribosomal RNA is filed under the name uncultured bacterium. RNAcentral describes it as "partial 16S ribosomal RNA". It matches the Rfam family "Bacterial small subunit ribosomal RNA", at positions 28 to 523 of the family's 1533-position model. The record is from RNAcentral.
GACGAACGCUGGCGGCGUGCUUAACACAUGCAAGUCGAGCGGUAAGGCCCCUUCGGGGGUACACGAGCGGCGAACGGGUGAGUAACACGUGAGCAGUCUGCCCUUCACACGGGGAUAACUUCGGGAAACCGGAGCUAAUACCCGAUACGACCACCUCGGGCAUCCGAUGGUGGUGGAAAGCUCCGGCGGUGAAGGAUGAGCUCGCGGCCUAUCAGCUUGUUGGUGGGGUAACGGCCCACCAAGGCAACGACGGGUAGCCGGCCUGAGAGGGUGACCUGCCAAACUGGGACUGAGACACGGCCCAGACUCCUACGGGGGGCAGCAGUGGGGAAUAUUGGACAAUGGGCGAAAGCCUGAUCCAGCAACGCCGCGUGAGGGAUGACGGCCUUCGGGUUGUAAACCUCUUUCAGCAGGGACGAAGCGCAAGUGACGGUACCUGCAGAAGAAGCACCGGCCAACUACGUGCCAGCAGCCGCCGCCG